Molecule: long non-coding RNA, 7275 nt
Organism: Cavia porcellus (domestic guinea pig)
Lineage: Eukaryota; Metazoa; Chordata; Mammalia; Rodentia; Caviidae
Exons: 2
Source: RefSeq, a predicted model, not a curated record
CACAGACAGUUUUGUUUCUUUCCAAGCUGGAUGCAUUUAUUUCUUUUUCUCACCCAGGUUUUCUGGCUAGAACCUGCAACACAGUGUUGAAUAAAAGUGGUCAGAGCCACCCUUGAAAUUGUUCAUGAACUUGAGAAGAAGGCUUUGUGGCCACCAAGUGUGCUGUUAGCUGUGUGCAUGUGUGUGUGUGUGUGUGUAUGUGUGUGUGUGUGUGUUUUCAACUUAACCCCAACCAGAUUGAAGGUGUUCAUUUCUAUUCCUAUGCAUUGUUUUAUUUUUAAUCAUGUAAGGAUUUUUAUUUUGUCAACUGCCUUUUCUGUAUUUAUUGAGAUUACUAUGGUUUUGGGUUUUUGUCUAUUAAUAUAUUAUGUUAAUUGAUUUUUUAGGGGUUAAACUAACCUUGCAUUCUGGGGAUGAGUCUCACUUGGUCACAGUAUCUAACACUUUUCCUGUUACUGGAUCAUAUUUAUUACUGUCCUGUGAAAGAUGUCACAUUAAUAUUCACCAGUGAUGUUGGUCUCUGGUUUUCUUUUCUUUUUAACCCUUCGAUGAACAUCUUCCCAAUCUUCGACCCCACCUCCUAGCCUCUGAUAAUCACCAUUAUAUCUUCUACCCUAAAAUGUUCAAUUCUACAUGUAGUGGACCCCAUGCAUAUAAGUGAGACUGGGUCUCACAUUUGUCUUUUUUUUUUUUUCUAGUAUGGGGGAUGGAACACAGUCCUUUUUAUUAUUUAUUUUGAGACAAGUUCUCUCUGUGUCACUAAGUUGCUCAGGCUGGCUUAAACCUGUGAUCUUUCUGGCUCAGCCACCCAUGGGGCUGGAAUUACAAAUGUGUAUCUCCAUGACUGAUUGAUAUUUUCCCUUUUUGUGCCUGACUUAUUUCAUAUAAUGUAAUGUCCUCUAGAUUUAUUUCUAUAGUCACAAGUGACAAGAUUUCCUUCUUUUUAAAGAGUGAGUGAGGGCUACAUUAAUGAAUUUAGGGCUACAGAAAGAGACUGCCUCAAAAAGUCAAAUACACAAAUAAAUAAUAAAGACUGAGUAAUAUUCUACACAUAUACACACACAUAUAUGUUAAUCUAUUUUCUCUGUAUAUUUUAUUCAUUCAUUUGGUGGACUUGGGGUGAUUCUAUUCCUUGGCUGCUGUGAACAUGGAGGUGAGCGGACAUCUCCCCCACCUCUGGAUAGUUUUCCUUUGCAUAAGCAUGAGCCCUGGGAUGACUGAAUCUUUUAAGUCUAUUUCCCGUUCUUUGAGGAAUCACCAUGCUGUGGUCCACGGUGAUUUCCAUCUCCACAGGCAGUGUUCAAGGGCUCCCUUUUCCCUACAUCCUCACUAAAGCUUGCCAUCUUUCCUUUUUGGAUGACAGUCAUUCUGCAGGUGUGAGGUGAUAUCAUGGUGUGGUUUUAGCUUGCAUUUCUUUGAUGAUUAGCCACAUAUCUGCUGGCUACCUUUUAUGUCACCUCUGGAGAAAGAUGUAUGAUUGGCAACUAUUUCCUCCCAUUUGGUAGGUUGUUUCCUCCCUUUGUUUUUCUUGGCUAUGAGGAAGCUUUUUAGAUUGAGACCCAUGCUCACCAAAUCAUCUGGGCUGGCCUCAAGCCUGCAGAGACAGAAGUGUCUGGGAUACCAGGUGUGCACCACCAUGCCCAGCUCCCACCUUAGUCUCCAGUUCAUUUUGGUUUUGGCAUGUGGGUGAGAUGAAUAUAAUUUUAUUCUUCACAUAUUGAUAUCCAUGUGGUUUAUUAACCCUGUGUAUUGAUAAGAUUGUCCUUUCCCCAUCACACAUUCUGGGUACUUUAGUCAGAAUCAAUUACCUGUCGGUGUGUGGGCUGAGGCCUGAGCUCUCUGCUGUGCUCCGUUGAUCCAUGGGUCGUUUCUGUGCCUGUGCCAUGCUCUUUUCAAUACUACAGUUUCAAGCUAUACCUUGAAAUCAGUCAGUGUGGCACUUUCCACUCUGCUGUCUUUGCUCAUGCUCGCUUUGGUUACUCAGGGUCUGUUGUGCUUCCAUGUGAAUUUUGGGAUUGCUUUUUCUAUUUCUGUGAUUGAAAUACUACUAAGGAUCACACUUAUCCUGGAGAUCAGGGGUCUGCAAUAGUUUGGCUUGCCUGGGCUUUGCUGAAUGAAAAGGGAUUGCCGUGGGCUGCACAUAAGAUUUGUGAUAUAAUUAAAGUAUAUAAGCAACAAAACUUAUUUUGUUUUUAUAUUUUCAUCAUAACUGUUCUCAUAUAAGUGAUGUACAUGACAUUAUAACAAUAUCAUGAGCAAAAAAGUGUGUGACUCACUUUUGUGCUUCCUAUACCACAGCUGCUAAAAAUCUUAUUUUAACUUGUUGAAUUAUUCAAUGAAAUAGUGCUACUGCAGUUUAAUAGUUAAGAAGAGAACUUACGAGUCUGUUUACAGUGAACUGUCUUCAUAGGCACCCACAUGUAGGUAAGUUCAAAUAUCAUUAUUAAUAAUUACUGCAUUUUAUUUCACAAGCUAUAAAGGCAUGGGUAACAGCUGCAUCAUGGGGGUUUCAAUACCAAUUUUGUGUGGUGGGCACAGGAAACAGAGUUGGCAUGAACAUAUUGCUAAACACUUCAUAAUAGUGUGAAAAGCUUCUGAUCUUGUGGAGCUGUAUUAUUAGCUGUCCAGGGCUGUGCUCUCUCCUUCCCUUUCUCUCUCUCUCUCUCUCUCUCUCUCUCUCUCUCUCUCUCUCUCUCCUUUCUUUUCUUGCUUUUUGUGAUGCUGGGGAGAAACCCAAGGUCUUUACAUUGAGCUACAUUCCUGGUCCUUUUUCAUUUUUAUUUUGCGACAGGCUUUCACUAAGUCACUAAGUCUCCUGUAAAGGUCUCAAACUUUUCUUUUCGUAAUGUGUUUAUCAAAUCCUUAAAAAUACCUUGUUUGACUGUAGAAUUCUAAAAUCGUAUUUUCCAAAAUUUAUCCCAUAUUACAGAACAAUUAUAGAAAAGGAAUACAGAAGUCGCUGAAUCUGCUUCUUGUUAAAUGCUUAUUUGGUAAACCUUACCUCGUUCACUUCAUCUUUCUCAUUGUAACCAGUGCCGUCAUCUCCAGGGGCUUCCCUGGUACAUUGCAAAGCUGAUCUUAGGAACUCUCAGGAACUUCAGGGGGGAAAACAAUUGAAGAAGGACUCAUUGGAAAUGGAUUUGGUCACAGCAUGAGCCGUUCCACAUCCCUUAUGCUUCUGCUCCUUUUUAAUGGUUUUCAAAGUGAGGUUUUUCCCCUCUUUCCAAUGUUUGGCACUCUGUACAGGCCAUAAUUUUGGUCCAUCAACUGAAAAAGGGAUCAGAAUCAUCUGGCUUAGAUCUCAUCCUAUACUUCCUUUAUGAAACAUUCUUUGGGUUCAAAGUGCACUUCUAGGAUAAAACUCAUAGGGUGGCCAGCAUCUGAGGACUUCUCUUUAAUGUCUUUCAGCUGUUCAGACCAGGUCGUCGCACACCUGAGCCAUGUCCUGGAGAAGUCACAGUCUUAAAAACAGUCCAUCAAAAUUCAGGAAUUCUGUGGCUAUGCAAGCAAAAGCACCAGGAGGCUCCAUCAGAGACAGCUGCCUUGGAUGACGGUGCACCAGCAGGGCCCUCUUGAGAGACACAGUGUGGGCAGCCAGACAGCACAGCCAGGACGGAAGCCAGGUGUGCACACCCACUCAGCCGCGUACGGCCGCCCUGUGUCAGCGCCUACAUCUUCAAGCAACAACGUACUUGCUCAUCUCUGCCCCAAGCAACCACCCUCUCUGUUUCUUGUUCACUGCCCUUCCUGCCCUGUCAGUCCCAACAGAGGAGAAAAGUCCCAAGGCCUGGCAGUCCCCUGAGUAGCUGGAGGGCACUACAGAGGAGGUGCUGCUAGCCUGGGAGCUAGUGGCUUGGCCCAGGUCAAGCCUGGCACUGAUGUGCAGGUGCCCUGGAAAGCCCCUUCUGUGUGCCCUUGGCCCAGCUGCCCCUGUUGCAGUUAACCCUCUAGAGACCUCCCCAGUGCUCCGGGGCAGUCGCUAUCCUCAGUGCUGUGCUGGGAUCACAGCAGGGAAUGAGACAAAGUCCCUCACGUUCAGAUGGAGGGAAAGACCAUCUAGGCGAGCAAGAAUCACCAAGGAGGCAGAGAGAGGGGUGAGACUCUGCCUUUCUGGCAAACGCUUCUCCGGGAGCAAUCAGGAGGACAGAUGCAAAGAGGCAGUGUCCCUGGACAGCUCUGAGGAACACGUGUCCUGGGCAGAGACCAAUAAGUGCAGAGAUCCCAGGACAGAACAGAAGCUUGGUGCGUUUGCAGUGUGGACAGAGGGCCCAGGGAGGAGGUGAGGACCGAGAUGACACAGGCCAGCUGACAGGAACCUGGGGGCCAUAGCACGUGUGUGCUCUGACUUCCAGGAGGGAGGAUGAGAAGCCCUGGAGAGUUUUAAGAAACAGCAACUGAAUGUGGGUCCACAGAGCCUCCAGCCUAUUGUGUGAGGACUGGGCUGCAUAGGGCAGGGGUCUUGGUUCUUUUCGCUCAUUUUUGGCCAGGGCCCUCAAAUAUGCCCCUGGAAAGGCGGUGUGAUUUGUGACAAGGGAAGUGAGAAUGUCACUACCUUAUAUGCUGGAACUAGGCUCUGGGUGCAACAGCCAGCCAGCUCUUGGGGGAACUUCCAGGCGCCUUCUCAGGUCAACAGGCUCAUUGGCUGGGUUAAGCUAAACUCACCUCAGUGUUGACGCCCAUGCCAGUCUGGUUCCCAGUCUCCCAGCCUCUUCCCCCAUACCCAGUGUCCAGGCUGACCUGAGGGCUCAGAGUUCUGGGUGCCCCUCCUUCCUGCCUCCGGCGCUGUGCAGUCUCUUCCCUCCACCUGGAGCAUGGCCUGUUCCACACCAGUUCUUCUUCAGCUGUCUUCCAAACUCUUUCUCAGCAUCCAUGUUCUUCAUGGAGCCAUUUUUGUUUCCUAGGAUCAUAAAAGCUUUUCAAAAUAUUUUUUAAAUUAUGAGGAAAUAAAGAUUUACCACUUUAACCACUCAGAGUAUACAAUGAAGCAUUAGGUGCAGCCAUGGUGCUGUGGGACCGCCAUCCACCCUCCAUUUCCACAAGUUUUUCAUCAUCCUAAACGGAAGCUCUGUGCCCAUAUAAAAGCUUUUAAUGGAGUAUGUAUUCAUCAAAACACUUCCAGUUAAAAGAGACAAAAAUUUGAAGAUUCCAAGGAAAUAAUCCAUUGGCUCAUAAAGAUGAAAAGUUCAGGUUUGCUUUUAGACAUGGCUGGCUCCAGAAAGCCAAACAGCACCAAGCAUAUGGCUCUCUCAUUCUUUUAGCUCUGUUUCCUCAAGUGCGAGCUUCAUUGUCAAGCAGGCUCUCACUAUCUAAGUAGCAAAGUCAGCUUACAUUCCACCAGCUCAGCAACCCCUUCAGGAAAGACUCACUUCUUUCCCAGUGAUUCCAGAAGAAAUCCCGGGGCUGACACUCUUUGGCUCAGUAUGAGCGCUCUGGACUGUGGCCAGAAACCUAGAACACGCUGAUUGGCCAGGCCUGAAUCAUGUGCCCUACACCCAAUCAAGGAGGCCACACCCACCUUGGCGGUACGGCCUGAGGGUGGGGAACCAGCCCUCCAUAGGAAAAGCAAAGUUCUGUCCCAAGAAAAAGGGAAGCAAGAACUGGACAGGCAUUAAGCAACAUCUGGCCCACCUCUAUGGCCCUUAAAAAUGCACUUCCUCCUGUGCUAGUCUCAGUAAUGGCUCCACCUUGACUCAGAAGGCCUACGCCUGGGCCUGGAAAUCUCCUUAACACCCUCUUCCCUGUUCUGCCCUGCACCUUCCUCUUGAGUGUUUCUGAAGCUCCUUUCCCUGCCAGCCAAGGUCAGGCCAUGCUCUCACCUCCUGGAUCUCUGGUGGCCUUCUAACCCCUCUUCCCACCUGCAGAGAGAUCUUCUCUGAAGUACAAGCCUCCCCUGAGGGCGUCCUCUUCAGCUUACAAGCCCCACACCCCCAGUUUGUAUCCAGUGGUGCUGCCUGCUUCCUCUGAGUUGCACCUAGGGAGGAUGUUACCUUUCAAAUGUUAGCCUCUGUGAGUCUUUAAGGAAAGUGAGGUUGAUAUAAGUCAGUAUUUGUAGAAUGCACAAAUCUUCAGCAUAGAGCUCAGUGCAGUCGUACACUGAGAUACGCUGUAUUUGCUCAGGUCAUCAUCCCAAAGAUCAGAGUCCUGCAGUCACAGCUUAUUGUCCUUCUUCUCCCCAAGUGGUUACCACUUCUAGAACCACAGAUCACUUUUGUCUUCUCAAAUUUACCUUGAGUUGAAUUGUAUAAAAGUUACAUUUUUGUGUUUUUAACAAUUGGAAUAAUGGUUUUGACUUUCCUCCCUGUUGUUUUAGACAGAAGUGUUCCUCUACUUUAUUUUUUAAUGGAGUUUUAAAAUUUUUAUUACUCUAAUUUGUGGACUGUGGAGGAAGAGAACAAGAAGUCACCAAGAAGCAAGCCCUCCCUGCAAAUCAGUGCCAUGCGUGGGCCACUGAGGGGACAGCUAGCUGCCAGCUUUUUCCUGUGAGUCAGCAUCAUUCGUGGACUGUGCGGGAAGAGAACAAAAAGUUAACAAGAAGCCAAGCCCUCUUUAUGAAUCAGUGCCAUGCAUGGGCUGCUGGGGGGAGAGCCAGAUGCCAACCUCUUCUGGUGUGUGGGCUAGGAAACUAGAAGAGCCCCUGCCACUGCUGUAAGCGACCGGCUGAUCUGGAAAACACAGGCUGCAAUUAUGGCUAUUGAGGUGGAAUACAAUUUAAUGCUUGUAGUGUUUAGUGUCUCACUGAUUUGCAGGUCUAGGGCCGGUGGUCUGAUCAUCUAUUUCAGAGGAUGGCAAUACACAGUGUAGCAUCUUUGGGGCUCUCCUUCUGAGGGUGGUGACCAUUGUCGAUUCCCUAUUGUCUUGUUUUGAGGUCCUGCAUCAUUUUCAUUGUCUUGUGUUGUCUUAUGUCUUGCCAUUGCCUUGUUAUGUUUUGUUUUGUUUGAUUUUAUUGUAUCUGAUGGCAUGGGCAGCUAUUUCAAAAAUAACAAGAUAUAUUAUGGUAGCCAUUUUGGAUUUACUAUUAUCUUGUUUUGAAGUCUUUUAUUGCAUUUAUUGUUUUGCUUUUAUUGGUUCUAUUCUGUUUUGGUUGAUUUUUACUAUGUCUGAAAGUAUCUGCAGCUAUUUUGAAGAUGGCAGGAGGCAUUAUGGUAGCCAUUGUUGAUUUUCCAUUAUUUUGAAGUCCUGUGUCGCUUACACUGGUUUGUUUUGAUUAGCUUUGUUCUGUUUUGUUUUUCCUAGUUUUAUUCUCUUAAAAAUAAAAAUAAUUUUUUUAUUACUCCA